This 402-nucleotide unclassified non-coding RNA is filed under the name soil metagenome. RNAcentral's name for it is "partial contains 5.8S ribosomal RNA, internal transcribed spacer 2, and large subunit ribosomal RNA". The stretch from base 1 to 121 matches the Rfam family "5.8S ribosomal RNA", at positions 35 to 154 of the family's 154-position model. The record is from RNAcentral.
GAUGAAGAACGUAGCGAAAUGCGAUAAGUAAUGUGAAUUGCAGAAUUCAGUGAAUCAUCGAAUCUUUGAACGCACCUUGCGCCCUUUGGCUAUUCCGAAGGGCAUGCCUGUUUGAGUAUCAUUAACACCUCAACUCUCAUGGUUCGCCAUGAUGAGCUUGGACUCUGGGGGUCUUGCUGGCCUAUGGUCAGCUCCUCUCAAAUAAAUCAGCUUGCCAGUGUUUGGUGGCAUCACAGGUGUGAUAACUAUCUACGCUUGUGGUUUUCCAUCAGGUAACCUUCAGUGAUGGAGGUUCGCUGGAGCUCAUAAAUGUCCCUCCUCAGCGAGGACAGCUUUUUGAACGUUUGAUCUCAAAUCAGGUAGGACUACCCGCUGAACUUAAGCAUAUCAAUAAGCGGAGGA